AACGAACGCUGGCGGCAUGCUUAACACAUGCAAGUCGAACGAGAACUUCGGGUCUUGUGGCGCACGGGUGCGUACCGAGUGGGAACCUGCACUUAGGUUCGGAAUCCCUCCCCGUAAGGGGUCCUCAUAAAGGUUAAUGUAUUAGGACCAAAGAUGUAUUGCUUUUGGAUGGGCCCGCGUUGGAUUAGCCAGUUGGUAGGGUAAAAGCCUAUCAAGGCGAGGAUCCAUAGCUGGUCUGUGAGGAUGAUCAGCCACGCUGGGGCUGAGACACGGCUCAGACUCGUACGGAGGGCAGCAGAAGAGAAUAUUGGACGAUGAACGAAAGCCUAAUCCAGCAGUGCCGCGGAUGUGAUGAAGGCGUUAGGGUUGUAAAUCUGUUUGACCCGAGGUGAUAAUGACAGUACCGGGAGAAGAAGCUCCGGCUAACUCCGUG
RNAcentral lists this ribosomal RNA (433 nucleotides) under uncultured bacterium. RNAcentral describes it as "partial 16S ribosomal RNA". It matches the Rfam family "Bacterial small subunit ribosomal RNA", at positions 29 to 507 of the family's 1533-position model. The record is from RNAcentral.